CGAACAAGAAAAUUGUUUUUAGUGUCAUUCGCUUCCAGUACACAGAGACAACAACACAGAGAAUAAAUAUAAGAUGAGAAUAUAAAAAAUACACAUGUGGCAGCUUUACACAAAUUAUUGGUCAAAUGAGCUCGAGUCUCAAGCUCAAACUCAAUAUCCACUUGGGUUUUAUGAUCUUUGCUGAUUCACUAAAGUCCAUCCAUCCAUCCAUUUUCUACCGCUUAUCCGGGGCCGGGUCGCGGGGGCAGCAGUCUAAGCAGGGAUGCCCAGACUCCGGAAAAAAAAAUGCAGCAAGUGCUUACUAUUGUGGGAGGAAUUUGCAAGGAAACAGUGAAGUUACUGGUAAAGUAACCAGUAAAGUACUGUCAAUGUGUGCAGUACUGUACUACUCUGUAAAACAUUAGCUACUUCUAUAUUGUGCUUUCACAUUAAAAUAAUAAGGAGAAGAA
Molecule: long non-coding RNA, 449 nt
Organism: Tachysurus fulvidraco (yellow catfish)
Lineage: Eukaryota; Metazoa; Chordata; Actinopteri; Siluriformes; Bagridae
Exons: 2
Source: RefSeq, a predicted model, not a curated record